UAAGGGUUAAUAUAUUACAUUAUUUAUUAUUAUUAUUAUUAUGAUUAUUAUUAAAGUAUAUGACUGAGUGAUAUUGGAUUAUUUAAAUGUAGUUGAGAACUGAUUUUUGGAAAGUUGAUAAAAGAUUUGGAAAAUGGAUUUGUGGAAUAAGGGAAAGUUUAUGAUAAGUUUCGGAAUAUAGUUUUCAAAACCACCACAAG
This 200-nucleotide long non-coding RNA is filed under the name Prunus persica (peach). RNAcentral's name for it is "long non-coding RNA (PPER_LNC002082)". Lineage: Eukaryota; Viridiplantae; Streptophyta; Magnoliopsida; Rosales; Rosaceae. The record is from RNAcentral.